GAGUCAGGUAUUUCUAUUGCUCGUGUUAGAUGUGCAGUCAGAUACAUUAGACAGUCUUCUGCUAAGUUGAGGAAGUUUCAAGAAUGUUGUGAAAGUGAAAAUAUUGUCAAGAAGUCUUUAUGCUUAGAUGUUCCUACAAGGUGGAAUUCCACCUACUUGAUGUUGAGCAGGGCUAUUGAAUAUGAGCGUGCAAUUAAAGAAUAUUCUGAUCGUGAUACUGGCUUGUCAUGUUAUCUUAUGUUUGAUGCUAUUUCAGAUGGAAAGCCUGUAGGUUUGCUUACAAGAACUGAUUGGGAUGAUGUAAAUAGAAUUGCACAAUUUCUUGAAAUAUUUUAUAAUCUCACUUUGAAGGUGUCCGGAUCACUUUAUGUAACAUCAAAUUCCCAUUUUUUUGAAAUUGGUCAAGUUGUUGUUUAUUUAAAUCGAUUAAUAACAACUGAAGAUGUACUUUUGAGUGAGAUGGCAUAAAGUAUGCGGAAAAAAUUUGAGAAGUAUUGGGGUGAACCAACAAAAAUGAACAAAAUGAUUUUCAUUGCUUGUGUUUUGGAUCCUCACUACAAGUUUACUACUGUUAGUUUUGUACUUAAGAAGAUGUUUGGAGAUGAAGGGACAAUUAUUGAAAAAGAGGUUCAUACUUAUAUGAGUUCAUUGUUUAAUGAGUAUGUCUCUAAGUCAGUUUCAAAAGAUACUGGUGGUAAAGUUUCUACCUCUUUGCCAAGCUCUUUAUUCAGCACAAUGGAAACUUCAACUCCUGGUUUAGGUGAACUUUUAGAUGAAAUAAGGAAACAUAAAGCUGCAAGUGGAGGUGUAGAUUCUAAAACAGAAUUGGAAAAGUAUCUUGUAUAAGAUCCUGAAAAUGAAAGACCGGACUUUGAUAUCUUGGCUUGGUGGAAGGUGAACUCACCUAGAUUUCCUAUUCUUGCUAAGAUGGCUUGAGAUGUGCUUGCUAUUCCUAUUUCAAGUGUGGCAUCUGAAAGUGCAUUUAGUAUCAGAGGGUGUAUUCUUGACCAAUUUAGGAGUUCAUUAACUCUUAAAUUGGUUGAAAUUCUAGUGUGCCUUCAAGAUUGGCUUCGGAGUGAAUCGCUUCCUAUAAAUGUUGAGGAAGAUUUAGAUUUUCUCGAGACACUCGAGGAAGAUUUUACUAAUCUUGGCAAAGAAGCUUCCACCGACGAUAUUUGCUAGAGUUUGUUAGUUGCUAUCUAUAACAUGGACAUUGAAGUUGGGCUCGUGAAGUUGAACUUUAUUUGCUGCCCAUCAACUGGCGAUUCUAAUCAGAAGAAGACAAAUAAGAAGCACAAAAGAAAUGUGUUACUUGCGCUCAACUAAAGACAUUUCAUGGAAUUAUUUUCCAUGGGACUUAUUUUGCAAAUUAUUUCAUAAUCACAGUAAUUUAUAGUUGACCGUGACUUUAAGAAUGUAGGAAAUAUUGAUCUAAUUGCAACUUAGUUUUCUACUUCUUUAA
Long non-coding RNA from Nicotiana tabacum (common tobacco), 1462 nucleotides. RefSeq lists it as uncharacterized. The record is from RefSeq and is a predicted model, not a curated record. Lineage: Eukaryota; Viridiplantae; Streptophyta; Magnoliopsida; Solanales; Solanaceae.